AGCGCGGCUACCAUGCAAGUCGAGCGAUGAAGCUUCUUUCGGGAAGUGGAUUAGCGGCGGACCCUUUUGUAACACGUGGGUAACCUGCCUCAAAGAGGGGGAUAGUUCUCCGAAAGGAGGAGUAAUACCGCAUAAUAUAUUUUAAUCGCAUGAUUAAAAUAUCAAAGAUUUAUCACUUUGAGAUGGACCCGCGUCGCAUUAGCUAGUUGGUAAGGUAACGGCUUACCAAGGCGACGAUGCGUAGCCGACCUGAGAGGGUGAUCGGCCACAUUGGGACUGAGACACGGCCCAGACUCCUACGGGAGGCAGCAGUGGGGAAUAUUGCGCAAUGGGGGAAACCCUGACGCAGCAACGCCGCGUGGGUGAUGAAGGUUUUCGGAUUGUAAAGCCCUGUUCUAUGGGACGAUAAUGACGGUACCAUAGGAGAAAGCCACGGCUAACUACGUGCCAGCAGCCGCGGUAAUACGUAGGUGGCAAGCGUUGUCCGGAAUUACUGGGCGUAAAGAGUAUGUAGGCG
Molecule: ribosomal RNA, 517 nt
Filed under: uncultured bacterium
Lineage: Bacteria
Description: bacterial SSU rRNA
Rfam family: Bacterial small subunit ribosomal RNA
Source: RNAcentral